CGAAAGCCUGACGGAGCAAUACCGCGUGAGGGAGGAAGGCUCUUGGGUUGUAAACCUCUUUUCUCAGGGAAGAAGCUCUGACGGUACCUGAGGAAUCAGCAUCGGCUAACUCCGUGCCAGCAGCCGCGGUAAUACGGAGGAUGCAAGCGUUAUCCGGAAUGAUUGGGCGUAAAGCGUCCGCAGGUGGCGAUUCAAGUCUGCUGUCAAAGGUCGGGGCUCAACCCUGAACAGGCGGUGGAAACUGAACAGCUAGAGUGCGGUAGGGGUAGAGGGAAUUCCCGGUGUAGCGGUGAAAUGCGUAGAGAUCGGGAAGAACACCAGUGGCGAAAGCGCUCUACUAGGCCUGCACUGACACUCAGGGACGAAAGCUAGGGGAGCGAAUGGGAUUAGAUACCCCAGUAGUCCUAGCCGUAAACGAUGGAUACUAGGCGUGGCUUGUAUCGACCCGAGCCGUGCCGGAGCUAACGCGUUAAGUAUCCCGCCUGGGGAGUACGCGCGAAAGCCCUGAAACUCAAAGGAAUUGACGGGGGCCCGCACAAGCGGUGGAGUAUGUGGUUUAAUUCGAUGCAACGCGAAGAACCUUACCAGGGCUUGACAUGUCCGGAAUCCGAGGGAAACUUCGGAGUGCCUACGGGAGCCGGAACACAGGUGGUGCAUGGCUGUCGUCAGCUCGUGUCGUGAGAUGUUGGGUUAAGUCCCGCAACGAGCGCAACCCUCGUGCUUAGUUGCCAGCGGGUAAAGCCGGGCACUCUAGGGAGACUGCCGGUGACAAACCGGAGGAAGGUGGGGAUGACGUCAAGUCAGCAUGCCCCUUACGUCCUGGGCUACACACGUACUACAAUGCUGCGGACAAAGGGCAGCAAGCCAGCGAUGGCAAGCCAAUCCCAUAAACCGUGGCUCAGUUCAGAUUGGAGGCUGCAACUCGCCUGCAUGAAGGCGGAAUCGCUAGUAAUCGCCCGGUCAGCCAUACGGCGGUGAAUACGUUCCCGGGCCUUGUACACACCGCCCGUCACACCAUGGAAAGCUGGUUAUGCCCGAAGUCGUUACCCUAACCUUUCGAGGAGGGGGAUGCCGAAGGCAGAGCUGGUGACUGGGGUGAAGUCGUAACAAGGUAGCCGUACCGGAAGGUGUGGCUGGAUCACCUCCUUUAUAGGGAGACCAACCGAUCUCUACAGCAAAAGGCAAGCAGUCAAAAUAGCUGGAGAAAGGUCAUCCCAAGGUCGGUCGAAGACAAAAGUGCAUAUAUAGAGAGGCUUUCAAACUAUAAAGUGGUUUGGUUAAAAGCAUGGGGGCUAUUAGCUCAGGUGGUUAGAGCGCACCCCUGAUAAGGGUGAGGUCCCUGGUUCGAGUCCAGGAUGGCCCACCUAAAACUAGUCAAGAGUUUUAAGUUUUGAAUUAGUAGCAAAUCAAAGCUCAAAAUUUCUAACUCGAAAGAAGCUAUCUAACUAAAGGGCUGCCAAGGUAGGGCAGAUAGUGAGUAAUUUGAAGUUGCUAAUCUCCAGUUAAGGGAGAGUGAAAAGAUUUUCCAGUUAGUAAGCAAGUUGCACACAAAUUAGCCUUGGCUGUGAUAGACUAGAUAAGCUUAGAAAAACAGCUUCAGCACCGAGACGGCAAAAAUAACGUCAGACUGCUGGAGAAGAAACCAGCCAGCACCUUGAAAACUGCAUAGUAACGCGUAAAACAUAGAAGCAGGCAGACUGUUGAUACCAGAAAUGGCGUUUUGCAGUCAGCAAGUUUUGAAACACCAAUGUGGUCAAGCUACAUCGGGCUGAUGGUGGAUACCUAGGCACACAGAGGCGAAGAAGGACGUGGCGACCGACGAAACACUCCGGGGAGCUGGAAGCAAGCAUUGAGCCGGAGGUAUCCGAAUGGGGCAACCCUUAGUACAGUUUGCUGAAUCCAUAGGCAAACAUGAGCGAACCCAGCCAACUGAAACAUCUUAGUAGCUGGCGGAAAAGAAAGAAAACUCGAUUCUCCAAGUAGUGGUGAGCGAACGGGGAACAGCCUAAACCAGUUGAUACUUCAACUGGGGUAGUGGGACAGCGACAUGGAAUCUCUAAGUUAGACAAAGCAGCUAAAUACUGCACCAGAGAAGGUGAAAGUCCUGUAGUCGAAAACUGAAGGAUACUAGCUGAAUCCCGAGUAGCACGGGACACGAGAAAUCCCGUGUGAAUCAGCGAGGACCACCUCGUAAGGCUAAAUACUAAUGUGUGACCGAUAGUGAACCAGUACCGCGAGGGAAAGGUGAAAAGAACCCCGGAAGGGGAGUGAAAUAGAACAUGAAACCAUCAGCUUGCAAGCAGUGGGAGGACGAUUCAACGUCUGACCGCGUGCCUGUUGAAGAAUGAGCCGGCGAGUUAUAAGCACUGGUAGGUUAAGGUGAACAGCCGGAGCCAUAGCGAAAGCGAGUCUGAUAAGGGCGCAAUUAAUCAGUGUUUAUAGACCCGAACCCGGGUGAUCUAACCAUGUCCAGGAUGAAGCUUGGGUAACACCAAGUGGAGGUCCGCACCGACCGAUGUUGAAAAAUCGGCGGAUGAGGUGUGGUUAGGGGUGAAAUGCCAAUCGAACCCGGAGCUAGCUGGUUCUCCCCGAAAUGUGUUGAGGCGCAGCGGUGAUGAUUAUAACUGGGGGGUAAAGCACUGUUUCGGUGCGGGCUGCUAGCGCGGUACCAAAUCGAGACAAACUCUGAAUACCCAGCGCAGACAUCACCAGUGAGACGGUGGGGGAUAAGCUUCAUCGUCAAGAGGGAAACAGCCCAGACCACCAGCUAAGGUCCCGAAAUUGGCGCUAAGUGAUUAAGGAGGUGGGAGUGCAAAGACAACCAGGAGGUUUGCCUAGAAGCAGCCAACCUUAAAAGAGUGCGUAAUAGCUCACUGGUCAAGCGCUCCUGCGCCGAAAAUGAACGGGGCUAAGCGCCGUACCGAAGCUGUGGGAUAUGUUGCAUAUCGGUAGGGGAGCGUUCCGCGGUAGGGUGAAGCACUAGCGGUAAGCAGGUGUGGACGAAGCGGAAGUGAGAAUGUCGGCUUGAGUAGCGAAAACAUUGGUGAGAAUCCAAUGCCCCGAAACCCUAAGGGUUCCUCCGGCAGGUUCGUCCACGGCGGGUUAGUCAGGACCUAAGGCGAGGCCGAACGGCGUAGUCGAUGGACAACGGGUGAACAAUCCCGUACUGAGGCUAAUUGGUGCAGAGGGACGGAGAAGGCAAAGCCAGCCGGAAGUUGGUUCCCGGUUCAACUGUUCAAGGCAAUGAGAGGCGGGGAAAACGCCUUGAGCUGAGGCAGGAGUACGAGGCACUACGGUGCCGAAGUGGUGUAGUCCAGCUCCCAAGAAAAGCUCUAAACACCAUAAAUUAGUCUUACCUGUACCCGAAACCGACACAGGUAGGGAGGUUGAGAAUACCAAGGGGCGCGAGAUAACUCUCUCUAAGGAACUCGGCAAAAUUGCCCCGUAACUUCGGAAGAAGGGGUGCCCACGCAAGUGGGUCGCAGUGAAGAGAUCCAGGCGACUGUUUACCAAAAACACAGGUCUCCGCUAAGUCAAAUGACGACGUAUGGGGGCUGACGCCUGCCCAGUGCCGGAAGGUUAAGGAAGUCGGUCAGGGCCUUGGCCUAAAGCUGGCGACCGAAGCCCCGGUGAACGGCGGCCGUAACUAUAACGGUCCUAAGGUAGCGAAAUUCCUUGUCGGGUAAGUUCCGACCCGCACGAAAGGCGUAACGAUCUGGAUGGUGUCUCAGAGAGAGACUCGGCGAAAUAGGAAUGUCUGUGAAGAUACGGACUGCCUGCACCUGGACAGAAAGACCCUAUGAAGCUUUACUGUAGCCUGGAAUGGUGUCCGGGCUUCGCUUGCGCAGGAUAGGUGGGAGGCGUUGAACUUUCCCUUGUGGGGGGAAGGGAGCCAACGGUGAGAUACCACUCUGGCGAAGCUAGGAUUCUAACUGGUAGCCGUUAGCCGGCACUAGAACAGUUUCAGGUGGGCAGUUUGACUGGGGCGGUCGCCUCCUAAAAGAUAACGGAGGCGCGCAAAGGUUCCCUCAGGCUGGUUGGAAAUCAGCCGCAGAGUGUAAAGGCACAAGGGAGCUUGACUGCAAGAGCAACAACUCAAGCAGGUAGGAAACUAGGCCUUAGUGAUCCGACGGCGCUGAGUGGAAGGGCCGUCGCUCAACGGAUAAAAGUUACUCUAGGGAUAACAGGCUGAUCUCCGCCAAGAGUUCACAUCGACGCGGAGGUUUGGCACCUCGAUGUCGGCUCAUCGCAACCUGGGG
RNAcentral lists this small RNA (4259 nucleotides) under uncultured Chroococcidiopsis sp. RNAcentral describes it as "bacterial LSU rRNA". The stretch from base 1752 to 4259 matches the Rfam family "Bacterial large subunit ribosomal RNA", at positions 1 to 2552 of the family's 2925-position model. Lineage: Bacteria; Bacillati; Cyanobacteriota; Cyanophyceae; Chroococcidiopsidales; Chroococcidiopsidaceae. The record is from RNAcentral.